Non-coding RNA from Schistosoma mansoni, 45 nucleotides. The record is from Rfam. NCBI's taxonomy places the organism in Eukaryota, Metazoa, Platyhelminthes, Trematoda, Strigeidida, Schistosomatidae.
GUCUAACUGACGCGUCUAAACGAGGACGAAACGCGCGUCCUGGAU